Molecule: ribosomal RNA, 400 nt
Filed under: uncultured bacterium
Lineage: Bacteria
Description: bacterial SSU rRNA
Rfam family: Bacterial small subunit ribosomal RNA
Source: RNAcentral
AUUGGGCUUGGGGGAACCCUGACCGCGAUGCCGCGUGUGUGAAGAAGGCCUGCGGGUUGUAAAGCACUUUCAGUGGGGAGGAGGUUUUGGAGGUUAAGAGCUACCAAGGUGGACGUUACCCACAGAAGAAGCACCGGCUAACUCCGUGCCAGCAGCCGCGGUAAUACGGAGGGUGCAAGCGUUAAUCGGAAUUACUGGGCGUAAAGGGUGUGUAGACGGUUUGAUAAGUUAAGUGUGAAAGACCUGGGCUUAACCUGGGGGUGUCACUUAAGACUGUUGGACUAGAGUAUGGGAGAGGGUAGUGGAAUUUCCGGUGUAGCGGUGAAAUGCGUAGAGAUCGGAAGGAACACCAGUGGCGAAGGCGGCUACCUGGCCCAAUACUGACGUUGAGGCACGAAAG